RNAcentral lists this ribosomal RNA (401 nucleotides) under uncultured bacterium. Its description in RNAcentral is "bacterial SSU rRNA". It matches the Rfam family "Bacterial small subunit ribosomal RNA", at positions 356 to 774 of the family's 1533-position model. The record is from RNAcentral.
GGGGAAUGUUGCACAAUGGGGGAAACCCUGAUGCAGCAACGCCGCGUGAGUGAUGACGGCCUUCGGGUUGUAAAGCUCUGUCUUCAGGGACGAUAAUGACGGUACCUGAGGAGGAAGCCACGGCUAACUACGUGCCAGCAGCCGCGGUAAUACGUAGGUGGCAAGCGUUGUCCGGAUUUACUGGGCGUAAAGGGAGCGUAGGCGGACUUUUAAGUGAGAUGUGAAAUACCCGGGCUCAACCUGGGUGCUGCAUUUCAAACUGGAAGUCUAGAGUGCAGGAGAGGAGAGUGGAAUUCCUAGUGUAGCGGUGAAAUGCGUAGAGAUUAGGAAGAACACCAGUGGCGAAGGCGACUCUCUGGACUGUAACUGACGCUGAGGCUCGAAAGCGUGGGGAGCAAACA